Molecule: transfer RNA, 39 nt
Filed under: Percus grandicollis
Lineage: Eukaryota; Metazoa; Arthropoda; Insecta; Coleoptera; Carabidae
Description: partial tRNA-Leu
Source: RNAcentral
AUUUAAGCCUCAUAUAUAAAGUUGUAACUUUUUUUAGAA